GAUGAACGCUAGCGGGAGGCUUAACACAUGCAAGUCGAGCGGGAAGGGUAGCAAUACCCUGAGAGCGGCGCACGGGUGCGUAACGCGUAUGCAACCUGCCUUAUACAGGGGGAUAGCCCAUGGAAACGUGGAUUAAUAUCCCAUAGGACAUUUGAAUCGCAUGGUUUGAAUGUUAAAGCUGAGGUGGUAUAAGAUGGGCAUGCGUCUGAUUAGGUAGUUGGUAGGGUAACGGCCUACCAAGCCGACGAUCAGUAGGGGUUCUGAGAGGAUUACCCCCCACACUGGUACUGAGACACGGACCAGACUCCUACGGGUGGCUG
This 320-nucleotide ribosomal RNA is filed under the name uncultured Bacteroidota bacterium. RNAcentral's name for it is "bacterial SSU rRNA". It matches the Rfam family "Bacterial small subunit ribosomal RNA", at positions 28 to 351 of the family's 1533-position model. Lineage: Bacteria; Pseudomonadati; Bacteroidota. The record is from RNAcentral.